RNAcentral lists this ribosomal RNA (492 nucleotides) under uncultured bacterium. Its description in RNAcentral is "partial 16S ribosomal RNA". It matches the Rfam family "Bacterial small subunit ribosomal RNA", at positions 29 to 507 of the family's 1533-position model. The record is from RNAcentral.
AGUGAACGCUGGCGGUAGGCCUAACACAUGCAAGUCGAACGGCAGCACAGUAAGAGCUUUCUCUUACUGUUGGCGAGUGGCGGGCGGGUGAGGAAUACAUCGGAAUCUUCUUUUUCGUGGGGGAUAACGUAAGGAAACUUACGCUACUACCGCAUACGACCUACGGGUUGAAUCAAAGGAUCUUCGGACCUUGCGCGAUUGAAUUAGCCGAUUUCGGAUUAGCUAGUUGGCGGGGUAAAGGCCCACCAAGGCGACGAUCCGUAGCUGGUCUGAGAGGAUGAUCAGCCACACUGGAACUGAGACACGGUCCAGACUCCUACGGGAGGCAGCAGUGGGGAAUAUUGGACAAUGGGCGCAAGCCUGAUCCAGCAAUACCGCGUGGGUGAAGAAGGCCUUCGGGUUGUAAAGCCCUUUUGUUGGGAAAGAAAAGCAGCAGGUUAAUCCCUCGCUGUCCUGACGGUACCCAAAGAAUAAGCACCGGCUAACUUCGUG